AUGUCCAACAAGGAGGAGCUCCUGGUCCAAGAAUCCACCACCGCGAUCAUCCCCAGCACCAAUCGCUCCCCUCCCACCACCCGAUUGGCCCGUUUCCUCCUGCCUCGCGCGGACGGCGCUCGUCUCCCGGCCCUGCCAUCCCCGUCACGCAAUGGCGGCCCCGUUCUUGGCGAGGAGCUCCGCGUGGAAUGGAGGGGCUGGCCCGGCUCCUCGAAGCUGUGGAUACGGUGGGUGGCCAAGCUUCGGCCGCAGCACGAGGGCCUGUGGCGGAGAGUCGGUAUCUUCGACGCCAUUCUCGCGACCACACGCCGGGUGCGGCGUGACGAGGGCCUUCUGCUCCAGCUCAUGGCGUUCUGGUCCAAAGAGACCAGCACCUUCGUCUUCCCGUGGGGCGAGGCCACGGUGACGCUGGAGGACAUGGCCGUGCUUGGGGGGCUGCCACUGUUGGGCAAGCCCGUGAGCGCGGAGCUGCCGGAUGCGCUGUGCGGGGAAGUGGCCGCGCUCAAGGCCACUCGGAGCGCUGUGAACCGGAGCAAGAGCAGGAAAGCGAAGUAUUCCAUCUGGGCAAAGUACUUUUUGGACCGGCCACGGGAGGAUGAUGUCGCCGGCGGCCGCAGCGGAGAAGACGCGGCUGGCAGAUUGCUCGAGCACGGGGCAUUCUUGGCCAUGUGGCUCUCCGCCUACGUGCUCCCGUCGCGCCCGUUCGACGUGGUUCAGGCGCGGGUGUUCCCCAUCGCCGCUCAGCUGGCACGCGGCCAGAGUGUGGCCCUCGCACCCGCCGCGCUCGCUGGCAUCUACAGUUGCCUCUCCACGCUCGCCGGGUGCGCGCCACUCCAAAUCCUCCAGCUCUGGGUCUGGGAGUAUUUCCCGGAGCUUCGCCCAGAGAAGCAGGUUUCCCCGGACAACAACGACGACGGCGUGCCGGCCAGAGCUGCACAGUGGCACAACGUUGCAAAGGCGUUCAACCCCAUCUACAUCCAUGCAGUGUUCAUGUCACCAGAGAAGUUUGAGUGGAUGCCGUACGGCAGCAGCAGCAGCAGCUUCGGUCUGCCACCCGGCAAUGGUGGGCGCACAGUCCAUGGCCAGGACAUCGCAAGAAGCGAUAAGCUUCUGUCCAUGGCGCUAUGUCUGCGCCCUUGCGAGCUCGUGGGCAUCGACUGCAUCGAGCAGUACUGUCCUCAUCGCGUCGCGAGGCAGCUGGGCUUCGAUCAGGACGUGCCGGGGGACGUCCGCCGUGUCAACUCAGAUUCCGGGGCCGCGUGGGCGACGUAUGAGAUGGAGGCCGGAGCUGUUGCGUUCAUCGCUCCGCAAGAGAAUGCACAACCUCAAGAUAACAUUCCACCAGUGGAAAAUUUGGCGAAUGCGCAAGCUAUUGUCGUUGAUCUGCGGUCAACAUCUGAGGACAUCAUGGCCAUCAGCAACGACGAGUCCGAUGAAGAAUCUGAAAUGGAUGUUGAGGUGGAUGCAAAUGCAACAGCUAAAUUGAAAUUGGUAACAUCGUCAGUGGAGACAGUGGUCUGUACUAGAUCACUCUACUAUCUUAGGCCAUUUGAGCUGGCCAAAGAUGGUCAGCCGAGUGCAGGCAGGACAAAUUCGGAUCAAGGGAUUUUCCAACCAAAACGGGAAGUGGGGACGGCUGAAAUGAUCAAGCAGGCGUCCAAAGCACAAGAUUUAGGUGGCACUGUUUCGCGCUGCUGUGUAGCUUUUGCUGUUGCUCGUUGUUUGAACUUCCUUUAG
RNAcentral lists this ribosomal RNA (1737 nucleotides) under Triticum aestivum (bread wheat). RNAcentral describes it as "partial small subunit ribosomal RNA". Lineage: Eukaryota; Viridiplantae; Streptophyta; Magnoliopsida; Poales; Poaceae. The record is from RNAcentral.